AGAGUUUGAUUAUGGCUCAGGACAAACGCUGGCGGCGUGCCUAACACAUGCAAGUCGAACGGACCCUUCGGGGUUAGUGGCAGACGGGUGAGUAACACGUAGGUAAUGUACCUUCUCGCUGGGGAUACCUACCCGAAAGGGUGGUUAAUACCGAAUGGUCUCGCGCUGCGGCAUCGCGGUGCGAGUAAAGUGAUUAAGCGCGAGAGGAUCAGCCUGCGGGCCAUCAGCUGGUUGGUGGGGUAACGGCCUACCAAGGCAUCGACGGUUAGCCGGUCUGAGAGGAUGAUCGGCCACACUGGAACUGAGAGACGGUCCAGACUCCUACGGGAGGCAGCAGUGAGGAAUAUUGCGCAAUGGGCGGAAGCCUGACGCAGCGACGCCGCGUGAGGGAUGAAGGUUUUCGGAUCGUAAACCUCUGUUAAGCAGGGAAGAGAACGGACGGUACCUGCUGAGGAAGCAUCGGCUUACUACGUGCCAGCAGCCGCGGUAAUACGUAGGAUGCGAGCGUUGUCCGGAUUUACUGGGCGUAAAGAGCUUGUAGGCGGGAAUGCACGUCUUCGAUGAAAUUGCACGGCUUAACCGUGCAGCUAUUGGAGAUACGGUAUUUCUUGAGGGCAGAAGAGGAGAACGGAAUUCCCAGUGUAGCGGUGAAAUGCGUAGAUAUUGGGAAGAACACCGGCGGCGAAGGCGGUUCUCUGGUCUGUCACUGACGCUAAAGAGCGAAGGCGUGGGUAGCGAACGGGAUUAGAUACCCCGGUAGUCCACGCGGUAAACGAUGGAUACUAGGUGUAUGAGGUAUUGACCCCUUAUGUGCCGCAGCUAACGCAUUAAGUAUCCCGCCUGGGGGAGUACGGCCGCAAGGUUGAAACUCAAAGGAAUUGACGGGGGCCCGCACAAGUGGUGGAGCAUGUGGGUUUAAUUCGACGCUACGCGAAGAACCUUACCUGGGUUUGACAUGGACCGGAAUAAUUUAGAGAUAGAUUAGCCUUCGGGCCGGUUCACAGGUGCUGCAUGGCUGUCGUCAGCUCGUGCCGUGAGGUGUUGGGUUAAGUCCCGCAACGAGCGCAACCCCUAUUUUCAGUUACUAACGCGUAAUGGUGAGGACUCUGGAGAGACUGCCGUUAUAAGACGGAGGAAGGUGGGGAUGACGUCAAGUCAGCAUGGCCCUUACGUCCAGGGCUACACACGUGCUACAAUGGUCGGUACAAAGGGCAGCGAGCUCGCGAGGGUAAGCGAAUCCCGCAAAGCCGAUCUCAGUCCGGAUUGCAGGCUGCAAUUCGCCUGCAUGAAGUCGGAAUCACUAGUAACCGCAGAUCAGCUACGCUGCGGUGAAUACGUUCCCGGGCCUUGUACACACCGCCCGUCACGUCAUGAGAGUUAGACUUACCAGAAGCUGCCGAGCUAACCUUCGGGGGGCGGGCAUCGUAGGUAGGCCUAGCGAUUGGGACGAAGUCGUAACAAGGUAGCC
This 1468-nucleotide ribosomal RNA is filed under the name uncultured bacterium. RNAcentral's name for it is "partial 16S ribosomal RNA". It matches the Rfam family "Bacterial small subunit ribosomal RNA". The record is from RNAcentral.